Long non-coding RNA from Herpailurus yagouaroundi (jaguarundi), 1823 nucleotides. RefSeq lists it as uncharacterized. Lineage: Eukaryota; Metazoa; Chordata; Mammalia; Carnivora; Felidae. The transcript has 2 exons. The record is from RefSeq and is a predicted model, not a curated record.
GCGAAUCUAGUAAAGACAGAAGGAGUUUGGGUCUUGAGACAAGCUCAUUAGCACUCAUUCCGUUUGGGUGAAAUCAAUUAGGGCUAACUGGAAGGUACAGCCUCUGCUCUCUGUUGACUCUUGAAAUGAGAGACUGAUGGUGGCUACCAGUUAUCAUGGAGGCGUGCUCAGGGGCAAAGACACUGAUGACAGAGUCUAGGCUGUGAAUCCUGCCCCUGCUGCUCUGUGGCCAGUUGCUUGGUUGGAGGACUCCGCAGGGUUCUGGAGGGUGACUGUGUGUGUCACCUAAGACCCCUGUGGGUCUCAGGCAACUUAGAACGGACCGGGCCUUGCAGGUUCCACCCGGCCUGACUGCCCAGUCCUGCGCCAGAGAACGACCGGGCGACGUGCCCAGUGACGGCACAAAGGAAGAGCCUCACACCCCGGGUUACACCCAGGGUUACGCAGAGGAGCAUGACACUGUGACCUUGUCUUCGGUGCUUUUGCCAUCUGCUGGGUGCUGCCUACUAGACUACAAGCUCAGUGCGGGAGGCCUUUUUUUCUCUCUUCUUGUUUCCACUGUGCUUGAGUGGGUUACCUGAGGUUGGCUGACAGAUAUGUCUGGACCCUCCAGGACUGGACACGUCAGUGGGAGUUAGAAGCCCAGCAAGAGGAAACCAAGGCAUUAGGAAGAGUACGUUUUAGGAUCAGGUAAAAACUAGCUGCCAGUACAGGGAGGGAAGCCUUGGUUUUCCCAUCUGUGGAAUGAGGCGAUGAGGCAUGAGGUCGUGCACCUAAGUGCUUAGCAGAAUUCUCGGCACAUAGCUCCCAUCGGAGUGAGUGCAUAGCGCUUCUACAACCACCCCCGGCGCCUUGCAUGGUUCUUCAUGUCUCAGUGGGAACUUUUACAUUUUUUUUUUACUGUGACCCGCACCACAACCUUCUAAUGUGUGUGCAUGUCUCUUUAAAUAUAACCGAACUAUAAAUUUUGUGAACUAAGACCCUUACUAUGUGUGAUGAACUUUGACGGUUUGCAUUGUGUUCAGUUUUGUUGAAACACUCCUGAAGGGGCAAAGGGUUACUUUCUGGGGUGAUGGACAUAUUCUGUAUUUUGAUGAAGGUGGUGGUGGCAUGGAUGUCUUUGCCCAAAAUCGUUGAACUCUAUAUUAAAAUGGGUGCCUUCUAUUGCGUGUCAGUUAGAUCUCAGUAGAUUUGCAACCCUCUAACUUUUAUUGAGAUACAAUUCACAUUUCACAAAACUCACCCUUUUAAAGUGGAUACUUAAGUGAUUUUUAGUAUAGUCACAGAGCAACUGUGACCACAGUCCAAGGUCAGAACAUUUUCAUUACUCCAGGAAGAAGCCCCGUACCCAUUAACAGUCACUUCCCAUCCCCCCAACCCUAGUCCCUGGCAACCACUAAUCUACUUUCUGUCUCUGUGGAUUCGCUGGUUUCAGUCUUGCGUGGCCGGGAGAGCAGCCUUUGAAGUUAGACUGGUUACUGGGCCUCUCAGGGGCCACCACUCACCACAACUGGGAUUUCUCUAUUUGGUCCUGGCACUGGGUGGUGAACUCCAAGAGCAUCAGAGACGCUGGCAGAUGACUCACAUCCUGUGUCCCCACCUCCUUCCUACACAGACCCCAGGCCUGUUCAGUCCUCCGGAAGUGCCCCCUUGCUCUCCUGGUGAAGAUCUGGACGAUGAUGCACCAGUGAAGGAGUGGAGAAUGGACUUUCCAAAGUCCAUGGGCAAACCCAUCACAGAAAUGCAAAGAAGUGAUACAUUCACAUAGAAAAUCUUCCCAUUCUUGCCCUCAUCUGCAGAGACACCCUCUCCACAUGCUGCAG